Molecule: transfer RNA, 75 nt
Filed under: Candidatus Vogelbacteria bacterium CG10_big_fil_rev_8_21_14_0_10_51_16
Lineage: Bacteria; Candidatus Vogeliibacteriota
Description: tRNA-Val
Rfam family: tRNA
About the family: Transfer RNA (tRNA) molecules are approximately 80 nucleotides in length.
Source: RNAcentral
GCGCGGUUAGCUCAGUGGUAGAGCAUUCCGUUGACAUCGGAAAGGCCGUAGGUUCGAUCCCUACACCGCGCACCA